This 253-nucleotide ribosomal RNA is filed under the name uncultured bacterium. RNAcentral describes it as "partial 16S ribosomal RNA". It matches the Rfam family "Bacterial small subunit ribosomal RNA", at positions 524 to 776 of the family's 1533-position model. The record is from RNAcentral.
UACGAGGGGGGCGAGCGUUGUUCGGAAUUAUUGGGCGUAAAGGGUGCGUAGGCGGCCUGACAAGUCUGAUGUGAAAUCCCUGGGCUCAACCCAGGGCCUGCAUCGGAAACUGUCGGGCUUGAGUAUGGGAGAGGUGAGUGGAAUUUCCGGUGUAGCGGUGAAAUGCGUAGAUAUCGGAAGGAACACCUGUGGCGAAAGCGGCUCACUGGACCAUUACUGACGCUGAGACACGAAAGCUAGGGGAGCAAACAGG